This 71-nucleotide transfer RNA is filed under the name Nanobdellota archaeon. RNAcentral's name for it is "tRNA-His". It matches the Rfam family "tRNA". From Rfam's summary of the family: Transfer RNA (tRNA) molecules are approximately 80 nucleotides in length. Their secondary structure includes four short double-helical elements and three loops (D, anti-codon, and T loops). The record is from RNAcentral. Lineage: Archaea; Nanobdellati; Nanobdellota.
GCGAUCAUGGUGUAUCGGUAGCAUUGAAGCCUGUGGCGCUUUAGGGUCGGGUUCAACUCCCGAUGAUCGCC